UACAGAGGGCUCAAGCGUUGUUCGGAUUCAUUGGGCGUAAAGGGUGCGUAGGUGGCGGGGUAAGUCAGGUGUGAAAUCUCGGGGCUCAACCCCGAAACUGCACUUGAUACUGCCUUGCUCGAGUACUGGAGAGGAGAUUGGAAUUUACGGUGUAGCAGUGAAAUGCGUAGAUAUCGUAAGGAAGACCAGUGGCGAAGGCGAAUCUCUGGGCAGUAACUGACGCUGAGGAGCGAAAGCGUGGGGAGCGAACAGG
Molecule: ribosomal RNA, 253 nt
Filed under: uncultured bacterium
Lineage: Bacteria
Description: partial 16S ribosomal RNA
Rfam family: Bacterial small subunit ribosomal RNA
Source: RNAcentral